This 161-nucleotide ribosomal RNA is filed under the name uncultured bacterium. RNAcentral's name for it is "partial 16S rRNA". It matches the Rfam family "Bacterial small subunit ribosomal RNA", at positions 355 to 508 of the family's 1533-position model. The record is from RNAcentral.
UAGGGAAUCUUCCACAAUGGACGCAAGUCUGAUGGAGCAACGCCGCGUGAGUGAAGAAGGUCUUCGGAUCGUAAAACUCUGUUGUUAGAGAAGAACACGAGUGAGAGUAACUGUUCAUUCGAUGACGGUAUCUAACCAGCAAGUCUCGGCUAACUACGUGC